RNAcentral lists this small RNA (583 nucleotides) under Pongo abelii (Sumatran orangutan). RNAcentral's name for it is "retained intron". The record is from RNAcentral. Lineage: Eukaryota; Metazoa; Chordata; Mammalia; Primates; Hominidae.
AAGUGAAGGUGGAAGCGGCCGCGGCGGCAGCAGGCCACCAUGGCGGAGCUGCAGGAGGUGCAGAUCACAGAGGAGAAGCCACUGUUGCCAGGACAGACGCCUGAGGCGGCCAAGACUCACUCUGUGGAGACACCAUAUGGCUCUGUCACUUUCACUGUCUAUGGCACCCCCAAACCCAAACGCCCAGCGAUCCUUACCUACCACGAUGUGGGACUCAACUAUAAAUCUUGCUUCCAGCCACUGUUUCAGUUUGAGGACAUGCAGGAAAUCAUUCAGAACUUCGUGCGGGUUCAUGUGGAUGCCCCUGGAAUGGAAGAGGGAGCCCCUGUGUUCCCUUUGGGAUAUCAGUACCCAUCUCUGGACCAGCUUGCAGACAUGAUCCCUUGCGUCCUGCAGUACCUAAAUUUCUCUACAAUAAUUGGAGUUGGUGUUGGAGCUGGAGCCUACAUCCUGGCGAGAUAUGCUCUUAACCACCCGGACACUGUUGAAGGUCUUGUCCUCAUCAACAUCGAUCCCAAUGCCAAGGGUUGGAUGGAUUGGGCAGCCCACAAGGUUUGGAGGGGCGUGUGUGCUGAGACCUAGG